Molecule: RNA transcript, 2640 nt
Organism: Etheostoma spectabile (orangethroat darter)
Lineage: Eukaryota; Metazoa; Chordata; Actinopteri; Perciformes; Percidae
Gene: lhpp
Gene name: phospholysine phosphohistidine inorganic pyrophosphate phosphatase
Exons: 8
Source: RefSeq, a predicted model, not a curated record
CAGACUGUAUACUAAUAAUAUACAGUCUCUGGUUGAAUCACAAGUGUGUUUUAAUUUGCACGCAUGCGCUUGGGGAGGGUACCAUUUCGUCAUGGCUGACACGAGCUGGCCAGGCUGUUCGAAGAGUUUGAAAGGUGUCAUAUUGGACUUAUGUGGUGUUUUAUAUGAGAGCGGGGAGGGCGACGGGGUUGCCAUUCCUGGUUCAAUUGAAGCUGUGAAAAAGCUAAAGGCAUCUGACCUGCAGCUGCGCUUCUGCACCAAUGAGACCCAGGCCACCAGAGAGAAGUUUGUAGCCAAGCUCCAAAGACUGGGCUUCGACAUCUCCGUGUCUGAGGUCUUCUCUCCUGCUCCUGCAGCCGUAGCUGUCCUGAAGGAGAGGGGUUUACGGCCUCACCUGCUGGUGUAUGAUGGACUUCUCCCUGAGUUUGACAGCGUUGACAAGACCAACCCAAACUGUGUGGUGAUUGGAGACGCAGCUGAACAAUUUUCCUACGAGAACCUAAACGAGGCAUUCAGUGUCCUUAUAGACCUGGAGAAUCCAAAGCUGUUCUCUCUGGGCCAAGGGAGGUACUACAAGGAGACAGAUGGUUUGAAACUGGAUGUCGGGGUGUACAUGAAGGCUCUGGAGUAUGCCUGUGAUUUAAAGGCUGAAGUAGUUGGAAAGCCAUCCCCAACAUUCUUCCAGAGUGUUCUCAAUGACAUGGGGCUUCAACCGCAUGAGACAAUGGUGCGAACUCAUGCUUGUGUAACAACACACACCUGGUGAGUUAGAGGAUAGCUAUGACGUUUAAAAAAGACACCCGAGGAAACAGUGGGGAGGCUGAAAUGGAUCGGCCAAGUGCUGAUGAUUAGGCACUGAUGAUUGGAGAUGAUCUGGUGAAUGAUGUGGGUGGGGCCCAAAACUGUGGAAUGAAAGGCGUACAAGUCAGGACUGGGAAAUACAGGCCCAGUGACGAGAGGCACUCUACGGUGAUGGCUGACGGCACUGUGGACAAUCUGGCUCAGGCUGUGGACAUGAUCCUCAAUCAGAGGCACUGAGUACAAGGCAGGACACUGGGAACUCGCCACUUACUGUGAUACUGGGUGAUGAAGGCAAUGUUUUCAAAUAAGUGUUCAGUAGGAAGGGUGUACUGCAUUGAGGUAUUUCAAGUAACAUGUUAAAGCAGCACAAAACUAAAAUACCAUCCAAAUAUUGAUACCCUAACUGUCAGAACUCAUUGAACUGUCAAACAUGAUAUAAUACCCAUCUGAUGCUCCACAUAUUAUGAAAUAUUUGCAAAACUAUUACUUAAGUCUACAAGAGAUGAGCUGAACACUUUAGGCUACACUGUGCAUUUGUCAGUACAUGGUUGGCAUAGAUAAGAUACCUCAAUUUGACACAUAGAUAAGAUACCUCAAUUUGACACAAAUGUGCUUGUAACUAGCUGCCAGACAGUUUCUAGUCUUACUGGCUUUGCACAAUUAAAAUGCAGCUGUAGUGUAUUUUAACAUACAUUGAUAAAUGUAGGUAGCCAAUUAUUGUUGUUGCUCACUCCCUUUACACAAAACAUGCACAUCCUUAAUAAACCGACAGGGAGUAGCCAGUAAUGCAAGUGUUAUUAAAAUAAAGCAAUUUUUACUAGCUGUUAAAAAACAUUUGUCUCCCUAAAUUCUCCCUAAAGUCAUGGAACUUUUUUUUUUCUUUUCUUAUUUAAAGGUGUCAAGGUCUCAAAGCACUGGGUAAAACGUAGCCUUGGAUGUAAUAUCUCUAUAUCUAGAUCUAACAAUAUUUAGAUCUAAUAAAUAUAUAUAUAUAUAUAUAUAUAUAGAUAUAUAUAUCUAUAUAUCUAUAUAGAUAUAUAUACUGUGUAUAUAUAUAUAUAUAUAUAUAUAUAUAUAUAUCUAUCCCUGAGCAGCCUUUUGUUUUACAAAAACAAAUUGUUGGAAAUGGGAAGUGAGCUGAUCUCGGAGAAGAUAAAUGCAGAACCCAGCUGAGUGUGAUGAAUUACGCUGGUGCUUGAGCUCAUGUUUCCCCCUCUGUAAACAAAAAUGAAAUGAGCUCUCCAUCAUCGGGCUAAAUAAUCACCAAUCUAUGACUGCUUAUCUUUAUUUACUUGACUGUAAGCCACCUCUGCUGGUAGAUUGUCCCGUCUUUGUUACAUUGUUAAUUGCCGCUCAUUAGACGUCGCACAUUCACUCCUGUGUCGUCAGUGAGGUUAAAUAAAAAAUGAGGGAGGAAAAAAAAAAAAAUUGGUUGUCGGGCUUUUUUGUGCUAGCUGGAUCACACAAAACAAACAAUUCUCAUUUUGCUGCCCCAAAGGUUUCAGGGUACCAAAUAGAUUGAACAAGAACGAAAGCCCAUUGCCAAAUGAUUCAUUGAGGUCUUUCUGGUUCACUUUGCCAUUCACUGACACAAGCUUUAAAUGUUAUUGGGCAAUUAAAGGUAAUGAAAUGCUGCAGUGUGUUAUGAAACUGUCCCUGGGCUGCAUGCACCACUCCUAUAUCUGAUGGGGAAAUAAAUAUUAAUGUGUACUGCUCAGUACUAUCAGCUGGUACCCAGUUUUCUAACUCAUUGUUUGACUCAGUGUUUUGUCCAUUAUGGUACCGCCCAUUGGCUUUGUAUGGAGCUAUGAAACAUGUAUUUGACUACUCUCGAAUGAA